Molecule: ribosomal RNA, 491 nt
Filed under: Escherichia coli
Lineage: Bacteria; Pseudomonadati; Pseudomonadota; Gammaproteobacteria; Enterobacterales; Enterobacteriaceae
Also listed under: 1 other name
Description: bacterial SSU rRNA
Rfam family: Bacterial small subunit ribosomal RNA
Source: RNAcentral
GGUGAGUAAUGUCUGGGAAACUGCCUGAUGGAGGGGGAUAACUACUGGAAACGGUAGCUAAUACCGCAUAACGUCGCAAGACCAAAGAGGGGGACCUUCGGGCCUCUUGCCAUCGGAUGUGCCCAGAUGGGAUUAGCUAGUAGGUGGGGUAACGGCUCACCUAGGCGACGAUCCCUAGCUGGUCUGAGAGGAUGACCAGCCACACUGGAACUGAGACACGGUCCAGACUCCUACGGGAGGCAGCAGUGGGGAAUAUUGCACAAUGGGCGCAAGCCUGAUGCAGCCAUGCCGCGUGUAUGAAGAAGGCCUUCGGGUUGUAAAGUACUUUCAGCGGGGAGGAAGGGAGUAAAGUUAAUACCUUUGCUCAUUGACGUUACCCGCAGAAGAAGCACCGGCUAACUCCGUGCCAGCAGCCGCGGUAAUACGGAGGGUGCAAGCGUUAAUCGGAAUUACUGGGCGUAAAGCGCACGCAGGCGGUUUGUUAAGUCAGA